GGACAGACAGAAAAAGAAAUUUAAUUCCAAGAUGAGUUGAGCAGCUUGAACCUGGAGUUUUUAACUAACUGUUGCCACUCGCUCAUGCCAGACUGUGAAGACGCUCCUGGUUUUAUACAUUUCCACCUAACGAGCGGACGCGCUCAUUUGGAGCAGGUGCAGUCUAGAGCAAUCCGCGUCCUGCCUUCCCUUUUGUUCUUCCCCUGUCUCUCUGGAAGAUCGGCAGCCUCGCAGCGCACAGCGAGUGUCACGAUAACAGGUUUCUCCGUAACAAAUCGAUGAGGAGGCAAAGCUUCGGGAGAAAAAGCCGCGUCAUGUCCCCUCCGAGGCGUUUCCUAGAGGACGGCUGUCAUCGCGGGCGUGUGGCGGGAAGAGAGCGGCUGUGUGCAGGCAGACGGAGAAGCGGCAGCCUGCGCAACCGUAGCCCGAGUGAGCGAGCGCACGGGGGGAGCGGGGCGCGGCGGCGCGCACGGACACGAGGUGGCGAUGUUGUGUCGCGCGCGAAUGCCAUCGCUUCAGAUCAGAGCGUCUGUUUGAAUUAAAUACUGUAAAAAUGUUCUCCCAGCAAAGAGGAGUCCGCGGAGUUUACGUUGUUCUCCCCCUAGAUUGCGCAGGUUCUCCUGAAACACAAGACGUCAGGUUGAUUGGAGACUCUAAAUUGCAGGUGCGAGUGCGCGAAUCAAAUAAGCAUCAGACAAAUGUUAUUUUGUCUGAAGCAAACAACAAACCUUAUUAUCUAAGACGUUAUUCUUGAUCUUUUAUUUUAUUUAAUGGGCAUUUUAUUAAAUGUAAUAAAUGUGUGAAGAUCGUCUCAGCUUAGAUGAAGCUGAAACUCGUCCAUCAAGUUUACCUUAAACCAAAGCAAUGGACAAAGAUGCUCACACGUCUGCUGCUCUUAAAGUCAAUUCACUCUUCUUUGAUGCGGCAUUAAAAUAAAAAAUAAACACUUGCAUGUAGUCUCCGUGGAUGUGUACACAUGCAUCUAGCCCUUCAUCCAGUGCUGCAAUGACUGUCUUACGCCACCAGAGGGACCAGGCAUACCGUCCAUCUAAAACAUGUAUGAUAGCUCUAAUUUUAGUACAAAAGGCGGGGAGGGUGACAUUCCGGCAAGCCUGCGCUUGUGAUUUGGGAACUUUGCUGAUUGCCUUGCAUCCACUUCCCCACAGCCUGCUAAACAAGACGGUAAGGGAAUGGACGUUGAAAGUGAAUCUAAGUCAAGCAGAGUAAAAGGCUUAUAAUAAAAUCAGUCUCCAGUGUUUAAAAGGUGAGAAACUACUCACAGUGAUACUAAAGGAAACAAAAAGUUUGAUUUAUUAUAUCAAACAUGUCAAAUGAGCACCUCUGAUCAAGAUUAACUUAUAUAAUGAAGUUACAUUUGUCUGAUGCUUAAUAAUCUAUAAACAUUUAGCCAAAACAUAAUAGGAACAAACAAUGUCAACAGUUGUUUUUUUAAGAAAUGUGCUGAUUAUUAUUAAUAGUUUAUGCUCCAUCUUUGAAAACUGGAAUCAUUAAUGUACAGUCAAACUUGUCCUCAAUUUUUGAUGCUUGGAUUUUUAAAAAGAAACUUCAUCAGCUUUUUCACUAGCUAAUGUGAUAGAUGUUGUACAGUAUAGGAAUUUUGUGAUAAUAUUAUUGACAAGUGACACAUCUUUUAUAUCAUAUCCAUCACUGUGACCAGAAUUCAAGUUGAACCUAACCUGUUUCCCCAUAAUCUAGCAGCACUACUUCGUUUUUCAGACCCACUGUAUGGCUUCUAACGAAAGCUACACAAACUCAUGGCACAGAUCCAGAGGUGCAUCAUCAGCUACAGACUCACAGGCAACAUGGAAGUAACUGUGUUGUUGAGAGAGAGUUUUUCCUCUCCACGGAUGCUGUAAAAUUGUAAUUAAUACAAUUAAAGGCUUGCUGUAUGUGGGAUUUGUUGGGUUUAGUUGUGUAAGGUCUUAAACCAUACCUUGUAAAGUGCCUUGAGAUUACUUUGUUGUGAUUUGGCACUAUAUAAACAAAAUUUAAUUUAAUUUAAUUUAAUUUAAUUUAAUUUAAUUUAAUUUAAUUUAAUUUAAUUUAAUUUAAUUUAAUUUAAUUUAAUUUAAUUUAAUUUAAUUUAAUUUAAUUUAAUUUAAUUGGCACAUCAAACAAAGUCUACAAAUACGUCCCUGGUGACUUUGUUUCUUCUGAAAGUAAAUGUGACUGCACAGUAAACAAAGCAUGGAGGCCACUGCCUAUGACCUUGGUCGACUGUGGGCAUUGUGUGUUAUUUUGAAGUGCACACUGUAACAUGUUUGCUGUCGUUGUGGCAACAGUAUGGAGCAUUCCCCAUAUGUGGCUGCUCACCUCCAGUGAGGGAAGAGCAGUAGGGAGUCAAUAAGGUAUGACUUAUCUUAUUUUAUGUAAUUAUUUCACAUCAGAUCAACUUCAUGUAAUCCUUUAUUUAAUGGCAUAACGGUAACCUGAAUAAAAGAUUUUACAAUAAAUGUGACCGCUUACCUAGUAUUUAUGUGAUAAAAUUACAUGGAAAAUUGACGUGUGACAUUACAUAAAGUCCAGGUUUUAGGCAUGAUUAUUUUUUUGAGUGUAGUAAAGACUUAAGAAGUUGAACCAGUCAGACAGAACUCUAGCAGGUGUUUCCUUUUUUUGAAUCUGUACAUUUUUGCUUCAUUCGUUAAUUUGACGGCAUAUUUACAUCAGUAUUUGUAACUCUAGUGGAAAAGAUGUCUAAUUUUAUAUAAUAAAACCUAGAGUUAAAUGGUGGAUUACAUUUUAUUUAGAAAUGAAGACAAAAAAUAGUGUUAGGCGUGUAAACAUAAAUAAAGCAGCCACAACACACAAAGAAAAACACAAAAGUCUUUUAGGAAGAGCACUGCUAAUGCAGCAGACGUAAAGUACCUAGGUAAGUGAGGUCAAACUAAGAAAGCAUCAUGGCAAACAAUGUUUCUAAGAGACACAGACGGGUACCAUAAAGGGGGGCUUGGACCCCAAAUGAGGUAGUGCUGGAAGAUUUUGAGAAAAUGUGUAAUAUUUGCUGAACUUCUUCUUUCUAUUGUUCCCAUCAGGGGUCGCUACAGCGAAUCAUCUGUUUCCACGUAACUCUCUAUUGUUUGCAUCUUCUAUUCUCACACCAGCCAACCUGAUGUGUAAUAUUUGCUGAACACACUGGAUAAAAAAUUCUUUGUACUACAAAACUGAAAAGGACACCGUAGCAGUUUCUACCCCAGAUGUCCUCUCCUGUUUUGUUUGCAUCAGAGUUACAUGUCACCUGUACAAUUGUACAGUACCUCUACCUAUACCCAGGUUGAACUUGUUUGGAAUAUUACUGGGAGAAAAUAUUCUACAUAAUUUCUCCCAUUUGAGAGAUCAGUUAUAAUGAAAAUAUCAGGAAUCCACAAUCAUGAAACUGUUUGUACGUUCUGUUUCUGGUUUUAUUGUGAAGGAUCAGUUCUUGUCUGUUGCACGUGUUGCCACAGCUCUUUCUGGUUAGUAAUGAUGUUCAGUACUUACCUGGGUUUCACGUGCCUCCAGGUUGCCACAUUGUCUGUACUCUGAGCUCCUCACCUCUGUCAGCGCUCAUACUAGUAGGUCUUAUCAGUCUGAUCUUGAUACCUGUUUAUUGACUCUGCCUCUGCCUGAUCCCUGUCGGUACCUCGGCCUGUACAUUUGGAUUAACUGUUUUUGAACCUUGCCUGACUGACCACUCUGUUGCCUGCUGUUUUGGAUUUGUUGUUCUAUUAAAGACUGUUCGGUAUUGUUGACCUCA
Long non-coding RNA from Betta splendens (Siamese fighting fish), 3754 nucleotides. RefSeq lists it as uncharacterized. The record is from RefSeq and is a predicted model, not a curated record. NCBI's taxonomy places the organism in Eukaryota, Metazoa, Chordata, Actinopteri, Anabantiformes, Osphronemidae. The transcript has 2 exons.